GCAAGUCGAGCGGUAACAGAGAGUAGCUUGCUACUUUGCUGACGAGCGGCGGACGGGUGAGUAAUGCUUGGGAACAUGCCUUGAGGUGGGGGACAACAGUUGGAAACGACUGCUAAUACCGCAUAACGUCUACGGACCAAAGGGGGGGACCUUCGGGCCUCACGCCAAAAGAUUAGCCCAAGUGGGAUUAGCUAGUUGGUAAGGUAAUGGCUUACCAAGGCGACGAUCUCUAGCUGGUUUGAGAGGAUGAUC
Molecule: ribosomal RNA, 252 nt
Filed under: uncultured bacterium
Lineage: Bacteria
Description: partial 16S ribosomal RNA
Rfam family: Bacterial small subunit ribosomal RNA
Source: RNAcentral